UACAGAGGUCUCAAGCGUUGUUCGGAUUCAUUGGGCGUAAAGGGUGCGCAGGCGGCGUGGUAAGUCGGGUGUGAAAUCUCGGAGCUUAACUCCGAAACUGCAUUCGAUACUGCCGUGCUUGAGGACUGGAGAGGAGACUGGAAUUUACGGUGUAGCGGUGAAAUGCGUAGAUAUCGUAAGGAAGACCAGUGGCGAAGGCGGGUCUCUGGACAGUUCCUGACGCUGAGGCACGAAGGCCAGGGGAGCAAACGGG
Molecule: ribosomal RNA, 253 nt
Filed under: uncultured bacterium
Lineage: Bacteria
Description: partial 16S ribosomal RNA
Rfam family: Bacterial small subunit ribosomal RNA
Source: RNAcentral